UACAGAGACUGCGAGCGUUAUUCGGAUUCACUGGGCGUAAAGGGUGCGUAGGUGGCGAGGUUAGUCAGGUGUGAAAUCUCGGGGCUCAACCCCGAAACUGCACUUGAUACUGCCUUGCUAGAGUACUGGAGAGGAGAUUGGAAUUUACGGUGUAGCAGUGAAAUGCAUAGAUAUCGUAAGGAAGACCAGUGGCGAAGGCGGGUCUCUGGACAGUUCCUGACGCUGAGGCACGAAGGCCAGGGGAGCAAACGGG
Molecule: ribosomal RNA, 253 nt
Filed under: uncultured bacterium
Lineage: Bacteria
Description: partial 16S ribosomal RNA
Rfam family: Bacterial small subunit ribosomal RNA
Source: RNAcentral